This 305-nucleotide signal recognition particle RNA is filed under the name Saimiri boliviensis boliviensis (Bolivian squirrel monkey). RNAcentral's name for it is "Metazoan signal recognition particle RNA (ENSSBOG00000007536.1)". It matches the Rfam family "Metazoan signal recognition particle RNA". From Rfam's summary of the family: The signal recognition particle (SRP) is a universally conserved ribonucleoprotein. It is involved in the co-translational targeting of proteins to membranes. The record is from RNAcentral. Lineage: Eukaryota; Metazoa; Chordata; Mammalia; Primates; Cebidae.
ACUGGGUACAGUGGCACGUGCCUGUUGUGCCAGCUACUAGGGAGGCUGGGUGGGCAGAUUAUUUGAGCCCAGGAGUUCUGGGCUGUAGUGUGCUAUGCCAAUCGGGUGUCCAAUUGAUGCACUAAGUUUGGCAUCAAUAUGGUGACCUUCUGGGAGCAGGGGACCACCAGGUUGCCCAAGGAGGGGUGAACCAGCCCAGGUCGGAAACAGAGCACGUCAAAACGCCUGUGUUGAUAAAUAGUGGGAUCACGCCUGUGAACAGCCACUGCACUCCAGCCUGGGCAACAUAGCGAGACCCUGUCUCA